GAUGAAGAACGCAGCGAAAUGCGAUAAGUAAUGUGAAUUGCAGAAUUCAGUGAAUCAUCGAAUCUUUGAACGCACGUUGCGCCCGCCAGUAUUCUGGCGGGCAUGCCUGUUCGAGCGUCAUUACAACCCUCAGGCCCCCGGGCCUGGCGUUGGGGAUCGGCGGAAGCCCCCUGCGGGCACAACGCCGUCCCCCAAAUACAGUGGCGGUCCCGCCGCAGCUUCCAUUGCGUAGUAGCUAACACCUCGCAACUGGAGAGCGGCGCGGCCACGCCGUAAAACACCCAACUUCUGAAUGUUGACCUCGAAUCAGGUAGGAAUACCCGCUGAACUUAAGCAUAUCAAUAAGCGGAGGA
Molecule: unclassified non-coding RNA, 353 nt
Filed under: soil metagenome
Description: partial contains 5.8S ribosomal RNA, internal transcribed spacer 2, and large subunit ribosomal RNA
Rfam family: 5.8S ribosomal RNA (bases 1-120)
Source: RNAcentral